This 774-nucleotide ribosomal RNA is filed under the name uncultured Neocallimastigales. RNAcentral describes it as "partial large subunit ribosomal RNA". It matches the Rfam family "Eukaryotic large subunit ribosomal RNA", at positions 26 to 614 of the family's 3401-position model. The record is from RNAcentral. Lineage: Eukaryota; Fungi; Neocallimastigomycota; Neocallimastigomycetes; Neocallimastigales.
CGCAUCUGUGCAUGCAGCAUAUCAAUAAGCGGAGGAAAAGAAACUAACAAGGAUUCCCCUAGUAACGGCGAGUGAAGCGGGAAGAGCUCAAAUUUGAAAUCUUAAAGGGUUUCCCUUUACGAAUUGUAGUUUAAAGAAGUGUUUUCUGUUGAGGUUUUGGUAAAAGUUCUUUGGAAUAGGACAUCAUAGAGGGUGAGAAUCCCGUAUUUGACCUUUACUUUCAACUUUGUGAUACACUUUCAAAGAGUCGGAUUGUUUGGGAAUGCAGUCCAAAAUGGGUGGUAAAUUUCAUCUAAAGCUAAAUAUUGGCGAGAGACCGAUAGCGAACAAGUACCGUGAGGGAAAGAUGAAAAGAACUUUGAAAAGAGAGUUAAACAGUACGUGAAAUUGUCAAAAGGGAAGCGUUUGACACCAGUGUUGUUUUUCUGAAAAUCAAUUAAAGAACUGUUUAUGCUAAGCUGUUUAGACUUUAUCAGCUAACUGUUUAGUUUUGAGCUUUUCUUAAAUGCACUUUUCAGUUAACAAGUCAACAUCAAUUUCUUUUGCUGUAAAAAAGCUUGAGGAAGGUGGCUUGAGAUUCGUCUUAAGUGUUUAUAGCCUCUUGCCUAUGCAGUCGGAGAGAUUGAGGUCUGCAGUGUAGAUCCUUCGGGGCUAAAUGCAUUUGUGCUAAGUUAUAGCAUUUUAUAGACAACUUGUUGACUAUGAUUUGUCUUGUAGCUUACUCGCUUAUGUUAUUUUACCUACGCUUAGGAUGUUGAACGCGCACAGAGUCUC